CCUACGGGAGGCAGCAGUGGGGGAUAUUGCACAAUGGAGGGAACUCUGAUGCAGCGACGCCGCGUGAGGGAAGAAGGUUUUCGGAUUGUAAACCUCUGUCUUCGGUGACGAAACGAGACGGUAGCCGAGGAGGAAGCCACGGCUAACUACGUGCCAGCAGCCGCGGUAAUACGUAGGUGGCAAGCGUUGUCCGCAAUUACUGGGUGUAAAGGGAGCGUAGGCGGGAAAGCAAGUUGAAUGUUUAAGGUACGGGCUCAACCUGUACAAGCGUUCAAAACUGUUUUUCUUGAGUGGAGAGAAGUAUGCGGAAUUCGUGGUGUAGCGGUGAAAUGCAUAGAUAUCACGAAGAACUCCGAUUGCGAAGGCAGCAUACCGGCUCCAUACUGACGCUGAGGCACGAAAGCGUGGGGAUCGAACAGGAUUAGAUACCCGAGUAGUC
This 439-nucleotide ribosomal RNA is filed under the name uncultured bacterium. RNAcentral's name for it is "partial 16S ribosomal RNA". It matches the Rfam family "Bacterial small subunit ribosomal RNA", at positions 338 to 795 of the family's 1533-position model. The record is from RNAcentral.